This 497-nucleotide ribosomal RNA is filed under the name uncultured bacterium. Its description in RNAcentral is "partial 16S ribosomal RNA". It matches the Rfam family "Bacterial small subunit ribosomal RNA", at positions 28 to 507 of the family's 1533-position model. The record is from RNAcentral.
GAUGAACGCUGGCGGCGUGCCUAAUACAUGCAAGUCGAGCGAACAGACGAGGAGCUUGCUCCUCUGACGUUAGCGGCAGACGGGUGAGUAACACGUGGAUAACCUACCUAUAAGACUGGGAUAACUUCGGGAAACCGGAGCUAAUACCGGAUAACAUGUUGAACCGCAUGGUUUAACAGUGAAAGACGGUCUUGCUGUCACUUAUAGAUGGAUCCGCGCCGCAUUAGCUAGUUGGUAAGGUAACGGCUUACCAAGGCAACGAUGCGUAGCCGACCUGAGAGGGUGAUCGGCCACACUGGAACUGAGACACGGUCCAGACUCCUACGGGAGGCAGCAGUAGGGAAUCUUCCGCAAUGGGCGAAAGCCUGACGGAGCAACGCCGCGUGAGUGAAGAAGGUCUUCGGAUCGUAAAACUCUGUUAUUAGGGAAGAACAAAUGUGUAAGUAACUAUGCACGUCUUGACGGUACCUAAUCAGAAAGCCACGGCUAACUACGUG